Molecule: ribosomal RNA, 505 nt
Filed under: uncultured bacterium
Lineage: Bacteria
Description: bacterial SSU rRNA
Rfam family: Bacterial small subunit ribosomal RNA
Source: RNAcentral
GACGAACGCUGGCGGCGUGCUUAAUACAUGCAAGUCGAGCGUGAAAGUGGGGCAACCCAUGAGUAAAGCGGCGCACGGGUGAGGAACACGUAGAUUAUCUGCCCUUGAGAUCGAGAUAACCCCGGGAAACUGGGGCUAAUACCGGAUAACGCACUAUUAUUGGUUUAGUAGUGUUAAAGUGGCGCAAGUCACACUUGAGGAUGAGUCUGCGACCUAUCAGCUAGUUGGCGGGGUAAAGGCCCACCAAGGCGAAGACGGGUAGCUGAUCUGAGAGGAUGAUCAGCCACACUGGGACUGAGACACGGCCCAGACUCCUACGGGAGGCAGCAGUAGGGAAUAUUGCGCAAUGGGGGAAACCCUGACGCAGCGACGCCGCGUGAGUGAUGAAGGCCUUUCUGGUUGUAAAGCUCUGUAAGGAGGGAAGAACCGCAGGUAGUAAUGUACCUGUCUGACGGUACCUCCGAAGUAAGGACCGGCUAAAUACGUGCCAGCAGCCGCGGUAAAG